This 181-nucleotide non-coding RNA is filed under the name bovine gut metagenome. The record is from RNAcentral.
UUGGUGCCUGCUCCCUUUUGGGGGUGGGUGAAAAGGGAAUCGGGUGAGAAUCCCGAGCAGACGGUGCUGCUGUGUGUCCCUACUUUCAUCAAGCCGAUUUGCGAUGCAUGUCACUGCCAUUUCUGUGAUGGUGGGAAGACGGCAAGCCGGUGGGACAAGCCAGAAGACCUGCCAAGUCGUU